CGGCGGGGCCGCGCUCGUCCCGCGGCGCCGACAAGCCCCGCGGGGGCAGCGCGCCGGCGGGGCGGUCUGCACUCGAGCAUUACGAUAUGUUCAUGUUGCGGGACUCUGUACCACCCUGCUGCUUUUCGGCUUAGCUUUCUAGCAGGUUCCUGCACUAAAUCAAGCAAGGAGGAGAAUUUAAACUUGACUGCAUCUUCCAGGUUCUAGAAAAAAGCAGAUCUCUUGAUCCUUCUUUGACCUGAUGAGAAUUAACAGCUUGGAAAAGACAGGACUCUCAAGACUCUCUCCUGACAGUACUGCUACUUUUCUAGCUUUUUCUUCCUUGAUUUGCUCAAGGCAUCUUGGAUCGUGACUAAGGGCAUUGGCGAUGAUGCGUUUCUAAUCAUUGAAGAAAUGUCUUCACCCUGUUGAUCCACUUCCAUUUGGUCACCAUAUUCUUCAUCCAUCUCCAUACUAUCAUUGGCCUGAUCACUGGGAAGUUUCUCCUGCAGCUUGUCAAGAAAGAAACACCUGCAUAAUGACAACAGAAGUACAAAUCAGUCUGGUAUCUGGCAAGGGGAAGCAAGGGAAUAUAAUACUGAUCUUCCUGACAAUAAAUCAAUGAAUCACAGAAUGGUUGAGGUUUGAAGGGACCUCUGGAGAUCAUCUAGUUCAAUCCCCCUGCUCAAGCAAGGUCACCUACAGGAUGUUAGACAGGAUUGCGUCCAGGUGGGCUUUAAAUGUCUCCAGAGGAGGAGACUCCACAACCUCUCUGGGCAACCUGUUCCAGUGCUCUGUCACUCUCACAGUGAAGAAGUUCCUCCUUAUACUCAGUGACCUAACUAUCUUAUGCUCAACUCCCAGAUUCCGAUGUGCUCAAAUUAGGAGUGUCAUGAACAAAAAAGAGAAUAUGAAUUGUAAAUUCAUGUGGACUGUACAGUUUUUGUGGCUACCACGAAAGAUGAGGUUUAGACUAUGUAUCCACAUGACCACUCACCUGUGAUUCAUGAUCUGGAUGAAGUCUUUACUCUUUAACUGCAAGUGGAGAUCAGUUAUUUCCUCUGCCCGGCACAUUAUUACUUCCAGGCAGUAUGUUUUCAUCACUCCAUGAAGUUUGGGGAUCAGAAAGAACACUGCAUUCAUAAACCUUAACAUGACCAGAAACCCACAAACAAAAGCAAGUUAUUUUUUAUUAACCUUCUAGAUCUACUGCAAACAUAACAUGUAAGUCAUGGUGUACCUGUCAGCAAGAGGAGGAAAACUCUUAACAACUUUACUCAAGCACUGAAUGAACUUAUCCUGUUGGGUAUUCUGAUGCUGUUUCAAUUGUUUUAUGACACAGUCAUAAGCUGGAUCUUCAAGUAUCUAAAAAUGAGAAAGUCAGUAAAGACAGGUGUAGCCAUGACAUUCAUAACAACUUAAGUGAUGUAUAGUUCUGCUCUUGCAUUGUUUCUAGUGCAUUUUACUAGUGGCAUUGAACCUGCCUCAUCUUGACAUCUACUGUACUUCAUGGAAGGUAUACAGUUA
Long non-coding RNA from Rhea pennata, 1506 nucleotides. RefSeq lists it as uncharacterized. NCBI's taxonomy places the organism in Eukaryota, Metazoa, Chordata, Aves, Rheiformes, Rheidae. The record is from RefSeq and is a predicted model, not a curated record. The transcript has 8 exons.